UAAGGAAUAUUGGACAAUGGAGGCAACUCUGAUCCAGCAAUGCCGCGUGUGUGAAGAAGGCCUUCGGGUUGUAAAGCACUUUUGUCAGGGAAGAAACGGUGAAGGCUAAUAUCCUUUGCUAAUGACGGUACCUGAAGAAUAAGGACCGGCUAACUACGUGCCAGCAGCCGCGGUAAUACGUAGGGUCCAAGCGUUAAUCGGAAUUACUGGGCGUAAAGCGUGCGCAGGCGGUUGUGUAAGUCAGAUGUGAAAUCCCCGGGCUUAACCUGGGAAUGGCAUUUGAGACUGCACGGCUAGAGUGUGUCAGAGGGGGGUAGAAUUCCACGUGUAGCAGUGAAAUGCGUAGAGAUGUGGAGGAAUACCGAUGGCGAAGGCAGCCCCCUGGGAUAACACUGACGCUCAUGCACGAAAGCGUGGGGAGCAAACA
RNAcentral lists this ribosomal RNA (427 nucleotides) under uncultured bacterium. Its description in RNAcentral is "bacterial SSU rRNA". It matches the Rfam family "Bacterial small subunit ribosomal RNA", at positions 355 to 774 of the family's 1533-position model. The record is from RNAcentral.